RNA transcript from Salvia splendens (bonfire salvia), 4269 nucleotides. It is a transcript of the gene named septin and tuftelin-interacting protein 1 homolog 1, with no coding region annotated. The record is from RefSeq and is a predicted model, not a curated record. Lineage: Eukaryota; Viridiplantae; Streptophyta; Magnoliopsida; Lamiales; Lamiaceae. The transcript has 5 exons.
AAUAACCUCAGAUUUUUAUUUCCCCCAAAUCAAACCUACAAUCCCUAAAUUCUAACACCAGAAAAAUCCGUUAGCUUGCUCUCUCUCUCUGCGAUCAAGGCAAACCUCUCCACUGCAGCAAUUGUCAUCAGGAAAGAGGCUAUUUCGGCUCCUAAGCUUCGAUUUCGAAAAGGCUACCAAAUUUUAGUAGAAGAUGGAUGAGUAUCAGGAGAGGGAGAGGUUUGGCAUGGAUAAUGAUUAUGAGGAUGGCCAGUGGAUUGGUGGCGAGUUUUAUGGCAAGCGCAGACAGAAACGUGCGCAGACGAAAGACGAUGUUCUUUACGGCGUGUUUGCCUCUGGUGACAGUGACUCCGACGAGGGGUUUGGGUCGAAGAGCAAGCGCAGGAAGGAUUCGUCGAAGAAGGCGGAUUAUUCCAAGCCAGUCAGUUUUGUUUCGACUGGCACGGUUAUGCCCAGUCAGGAGAUUGAACAUAAUUCCAAGGAGGAUAUUGAUGUAAUGGAUGAGGAUGAUGUCAAACCUGCUGGUUUAGGCCUUGGGUUUGGUUCUGCUUCUUCGAGAAAGGCAAAUGAAGACAAGGAAGAAGAUGAUGACUUCUUGCCUACUGCCUUUGGUAAGAUUAUCAGGGAAGGUGCGAAGUUGCGGGAAGAGAAGGAAAAGGAGAAGGCUAGGGCAGCCAAAAAAACAUCUCAAGCUAGCAAGAGGGACUUGGACCCGAAUGGUGUUGGUGAAUUUGAGAAACAUACCAAGGGUAUUGGAAUGAAGUUGCUAGAGAAGAUGGGCUACAAGGGUGGCGGUCUUGGUAAAAACGAGCAGGGAAUUACGGCUCCUAUUGAGGCCAAGCUUCGGCCUAAGAAUAUGGGAAUGGGUUUUAAUGACUAUAAAGAAGCCGUUCGUCCAGCAAUACAGGAAGUAGAUGAAAAAUCUGUUCCACAUCCCAGCCAUUCUCUAGAAGGUCGCACUAAUGAGAAGCUUUGGUCGAAGAAAGUUUCUAAGAAGAAGGCUUAUAUAACAGCAGCAGAACUGUUGGCCCAGAAGGAGGAGAAAGGUUUCGAAGUUGUUCAGAAGGUUUUUGACAUGAGGGGGCCACAGGUUCGGGUUCUGACAAAUUUGGAAAACUUGAAUGCAGAAGAAAUGGCCAGAGAAAAUGAUGUACCGAUGCCCGAGCUUCAGCAUAAUAUCAAAUUGAUAGUUGAUAUAAUUGAGCAUGACAUUCAGAAACUUGAUAGUAAUCUGAGGAACGAAAGGGAGACUGUGGUUGCUUUACAGAAGGAAAAGGAGAAGCUGCAACAGGAGGCUCAUGACCAGAAACAGCGGCUUGGAAACAUGGAGGAGAUAAUAGCUGUAUUGGAUCAAUUGGGUGAGAAGAGCUCUUCAGGAUUGUUAACUCUAGAAUCACUUGCUAAUUCAUUUGUAGACUUGCAGACAAGAUUUCCCGAUGAAUACACAUUGUGCAACUUAUCUUGCAUUGCGUGCUCGCACGCUCGGCCUCUAUUUAUUAGAAUAUUUCAGGGAUGGGACCCACUUCAGAAUCCAACUCAUGGAACUGAGGUUGUAUCACUGUGGAAGAAACUGUUACAAGGUAAAGAUUCUUUGAAUUUCUCUGGUACAGCUUCUCCAUACGUGCAGCUUCUUAUGGAAGUUGUAUUUCCUGCCGUAAGAAUAUCUGGGACCAACUCUUGGCAAGCAAGGGAUGCAGAGCCCAUGCUUAGGUAUUUGGAUUCUUGGGAAGAACUCUUGCCUCCUUCUAUCCUACAGGCCAUACUCGACAUGGUUGUUAUGUCAAAAAUAUCAGCUGCUGUAGACUCUUGGGAUCCACGUAGAGAAACUAUUCCGAUCCAUGAAUGGAUCCACCCUUGGUUACCAUUGUUGGGGCACAAGUUUGAGAGUUUCUAUCACACAAUUCGCCAUAGAUUUGCCAGUGUUCUUCAUGCUUGGCAUCCAAGUGAUGGAUCAGCUUUUGCCAUAUUGUCUCCUUGGAAAACUGUCUUCGAACCUGCCAGUUGGGAGCACUUAAUGGUUCAGCACAUCAUUCCAAAACUAUCGACUGUCAUGCAUGAAUUCCAAAUAAAUCCAGCUAAUCAGAGUCUCGAUCAAUUUAAUUGUGUCGUAAAAUGGGCGUCUGCUAUUCCUACUCAUCACAUGCUGCAGUUAAUGGAUGUUUUCUUUAAUAAGUGGCAAGAAGUGCUUUAUCAUUGGUUGUGUUCGAAACCAAAUUUUGACGAAGUGACCCAGUGGUAUCUCAACUGGAAAGAGCUCCUUCCUCAAGAACUUCAGGCAAAUGAGCAUAUCCGGUAUAGGCUUAAUCUUGGUUUGGCCAUGAUGAACCAGGCGGUUGAAGGCAUGGAGGUGGCUCCGCCUGGAUUGAAAGAGAAUAUUAGCUAUCUCAGGGUGCGCGAGCAAAGGCAGUUUGAAACUCAGAAAAAAGCCGCUGCGCAAGCUCAACAUAGGACCAUGCCAGGUUUGGAUAAUGAAAUUCCAGCAGAGGGCAUUAGUGGUGGAAACAAGAUGAGCUUGAAAGAAGUUAUUGAAAUCUAUGCUCAGCAAAAUGGUUUGCUGUUCAAGCCCAAACCUGGUAGAAUGCAAGAUGGGCAUCAAAUAUAUGCAUUUGGUAAUAUAAGCAUAAUCGUAGAUUCCCUCAACCAAAAGGUGUUUGCCCAGACCGAGGACAGGUGGCCCCUUGUAUCACUUGAGCAGCUGCUGGAAUUGCAAAGUCGUUCUAAGAUGAAGCGAUAAUGAGCUUCAGAAACUCCUUAAAAGUAUUAAACUGCACGAUUCUCUUCACAAUUCUGUUGUGUCUGGUGAAGCUUGGCCUCUAGAUGUUGUCAUUACCAUUUGAGUAAAAGGUGUUUCUCAUGGACCCGGUAUAAAAAAAUGACCCGCUGCUUUCAUAUGAUAUCUAACCAGCCUUGCUACGAAGGACGAGGUAUAGUGAGUGGAGAUUAUAUCAUUUGGCUUGAAAACAUUUUUCUUUCCCCUUUAGCCUCUCGAUCUCCGAGGUGAGCAAGGACUGACCCCCCUCAAUAAGCUUGAUUGAACCAGAUGCCGAUGCCGACCUGGUGAAAACUGGCGACAACGCGGAUUACAGGUUUGGUGCCCUAAAUAAAAACGAUGCAUUUGGUAUGCAUAAACCUUUGAUUUGUGUAAGAAUGGAAUUUAAUUGGUGUUCAUCCUACUCGCUCCGUCAUCUACAAAAGUUGAGCCCCGUAUAAUUAAAAUAGCUAGUUAGGGUUAUUUGAUGGGCGAACAACAGUAUUAUUUUCCAAACAGCCCAAGUAAAUUAAUUUUGGUUUGUCGUUGCAUGUGGAUGGCUAUGGUUCAGUAGACGUCUUAAAAAUUAUCAAUGAUCGCUUUAGGUGAUUGUUGUCUGAUUUUUGUGUGCAAAUUUGGUUGUUUCUCUGCUCUGUGAGUAGAUGGAAGUUGACUAUUUGAUCAUGUGCUUUAUAGUUAUUCAUGUACAUUAUCAAUGAUUUUCAUCUAGGAAUAAGUACAUGAGAAAAAAUUGUUUAUGUAUGAGAUAUUGUUUUUAUGAGUUCUUGCUGAAAAAUGUCUGCUCUUUUAGUCAUCGAUAAGAAAUACAGGACUAGUUGGCAAUUUGAUGGAUUGUGUUGACGAAUCAGAUGGGGUCACUAUUUAUUUGUGGGUAUGGUGACUUUUAUCGUCUUCUACCGUGAGUUUUGUUUCGAGCGUGGGCGGUCUCAUGCCUUUUUUUGAUGAAAUUCAUAUUUACCCUGCUUUUUGCGCUUUGAGAUAAUGGGCAUUUUUCAGAUCAGUUUAGCUGUCAUAUGCAGCCGAUUGUUGUGCAUUAUCCCUUAUUUUUGGCUGUGCCAUGUUGAUUUUGGGCAUUGUUUCAGAUUAGUUGGAUUUUGUUUUGUGUGUAGUCUCAUUUACGAAAAAAGGAAGGAGACGGAGGAGAUGGUCAUGCUGGUGACUUAUGUUGUUGCUCGGUCUGACCUGUUUGGUGCGUGAGAGAAGGGACUAUAUGCGGCAGAGAAUGGGACGCUGCUAGUGAGGUAUGAGCUGAUGUUGAGGAUCCCCGAGGCCACAUGUACAUGAUUGUUGGACUAACUGGCAGGGAUUGCGUGAACAACAUCCGGAUGGAUUGCAACUCCUUCGGAUAUCUUAGGGGAGCGCAGCGCAGCGCAGCGCGCUCAAUAAUGGAAGCUAACAAUGGCCAGCCCUCUUAAAAUGGCACUAGAAUCUAAUCAAACAAGAAAGACUUAGAAAAUACACUAUCUCUAAUUAUAUGAAAAUCUCAUUUUCACGAGUUU